GAUACCAGGGGCAAAAGGUCAUGCGUUUCAUGCUUGCAUGAAAAAGCAUGAGUUUGGGACCCGCAAAACAUGAGAAAGUAGCCCGAAUAGGGCGGAUUUCGAAUGUUUUAGAACUGCGUGAGCACAAAGUGCGUAGCAAUUCGUAGGUAUC
This 151-nucleotide small RNA is filed under the name chicken gut metagenome. Its description in RNAcentral is "Clostridiales-1 RNA". It matches the Rfam family "Clostridiales-1 RNA". The record is from RNAcentral.